AAUUUGGAAGAUUUAAUUAUUAAUUUAUUUAGUUUAAUUAUUAAGUGGAUGUCGUUCACGAGUUCAGCUAUCUUCAUUCUUGAUCAGAGAAAUAGUCAAGAAUGAUGUGCUUCCUGGGUCCACUCUUUCUUCUUUUAACUCUAACUUUACAAAAAUAAAAACUCAAUUUAUCACAAGAAUCUCUCGUUUUUUUUGAGGUCAAAUUCUUCUUCUAUCUCUUUUGGCAUGGAAUUUAUAACACGGUUGUUUGGACUUACUUCAUGUGUGGCAACUGGCAAUGACUACUAAUCUGUUUUGGAACCAGGGGUGUGCAAAUAAACCAGUAACCAUAAACCAAAUCUAUAUCCAAACCAAACCAAAUUUAAAAACCCAGCCCAAAAUAAAAAAUUAAAACCAGAGGCCCAUUUAUCAAAACCAAAAAAAACCGGAAACCAUUAUUCAGUUUGGAUCACGUUAUCGGUUACCAUUUGAAAAAUUUGAGAAAAACCCUAAUUCCCAAACCCUCUCUUCUACUAUCUGAGAUAGCUGUCACAAACCCUCCGCCUAAUCCUCUUCCACCUUCUCCAUCUCCGAUUCUCUCUACACUUUCCUCUCAUUCCAUCCAAUCUUAGAUCCCAGCCUCACGAUUGAACCGUCGUGUCGAAAACUUCUUGAAGGUUUCAAGUGAUCAAAAGCUGCCAUCACUUUAUCUCUUAGAUAGUAUUGUCAAGAAUAUUGGGCGAGAUUACAUAAAAUACUUUGCUGUUAGACUACCUGAGAUGGUGCUAGCUGUUCAACAUCUUCAACCUCUGUUGCACUUGAAGAGGACUUGUCGGUUUAAUUGUUGUACUGCACUCGGUUGAGAUUAUGAUGGGAGUUGAGGAAGAAUUUGGCAUUAGCGUGGAAGAAGAAAGUGCUCAGAGCUUCUUGAGACCAAGGCUUAAACCAACAAAGAGGAGGACUUAACAUGUCCAUUUUGGAGUGUCUUUUUUUUGUUGCUAUAUGAUAUUUGAUGUGUUAGGUUAACUAAACUUCAUGUAAUUGCUGGAUCUUUU
Molecule: long non-coding RNA, 1034 nt
Organism: Vicia villosa (hairy vetch)
Lineage: Eukaryota; Viridiplantae; Streptophyta; Magnoliopsida; Fabales; Fabaceae
Exons: 4
Source: RefSeq, a predicted model, not a curated record